RNAcentral lists this unclassified non-coding RNA (329 nucleotides) under plant metagenome. RNAcentral's name for it is "partial contains 5.8S ribosomal RNA, internal transcribed spacer 2, and large subunit ribosomal RNA". The stretch from base 1 to 105 matches the Rfam family "5.8S ribosomal RNA", at positions 50 to 154 of the family's 154-position model. The record is from RNAcentral.
GAAAUGCGAUAAGUAAUGUGAAUUGCAGAAUUCAGUGAAUCAUCGAAUCUUUGAACGCACAUUGCGCCCGUCAGCAUUCUGGCGGGCAUGCCUGUUCGAGCAUCAUUUCAACCCUCAGGACCCCCCUUUCGCGGGGAGGGACCUGGCGUUGGGGAUCGGCCCGCCCCCCGCGGCGGCGCCGUCCCCGAAAUCUAGUGGCGGUCUCGCUGCAGCCUCCCCUGCGUAGUAGUUACAACCUCGCAUCGGAGCGCGGCGCGGCCACGCCGUAAAACCCCCGACUUUCUGAACGUUGACCUCGGAUCAGGUAGGAAUACCCGCUGAACUUAAGC